AUAAAAGUGAUGAGUUAGACGAGUAGCUUCUAAUAGAGGGCAGUAGCAGAGACCUGAUGGAUGGUGAGAAUCAGGGCAUCUAGAAGUGAAUUUACAUCUAAUGAACUUUGUCGUUGUCCUCACGCUAUAGAGGAUCCAAGGUGGACAGUAAAUACUGUCAAAAAGGGUGGUACCGCGAAUUCGUUCGUCCCUUCA
Molecule: non-coding RNA, 195 nt
Rfam family: T-box leader
About the family: Uncharged tRNA acts as the effector for transcription antitermination of genes in the T-box leader family. T-boxes are found upstream of many aminoacyl-tRNA synthetase genes and some amino acid biosynthetic genes usually in Gram-positive bacteria.